UACGAAGGGGGCUAGCGUUGCUCGGAAUCACUGGGCGUAAAGCGCACGUAGGCGGAUUGCUAAGUCAGGGGUGAAAUCCUGGAGCUCAACUACAGAACUGCCCUUGAUACUGGCGAUCUCGAGUCCGGGAGAGGUGAGUGGAACUGCGAGUGUAGAGGUGAAAUUCGUAGAUAUUCGCAAGAACACCAGUGGCGAAGGCGGCUCACUGGCCCGGUACUGACGCUGAGGUGCGAAAGCGUGGGGAGCGAACAGG
RNAcentral lists this ribosomal RNA (253 nucleotides) under uncultured bacterium. Its description in RNAcentral is "partial 16S ribosomal RNA". It matches the Rfam family "Bacterial small subunit ribosomal RNA", at positions 524 to 776 of the family's 1533-position model. The record is from RNAcentral.